Molecule: ribosomal RNA, 253 nt
Filed under: uncultured bacterium
Lineage: Bacteria
Description: partial 16S ribosomal RNA
Rfam family: Bacterial small subunit ribosomal RNA
Source: RNAcentral
UACGUAGGGCGCAAGCGUUGUCCGGAAUUAUUGGGCGUAAAGAGCUCGUAGGCGGCCUGUUGCGUCCGCUGUGAAAUCCCGGGGCUUAACCCCGGGCGUGCAGUGGAUACGGGCAGACUAGAGGUAUGCAGGGGAGAACGGAAUUCCUGGUGUAGCGGUGAAAUGCGCAGAUAUCAGGAGGAACACCGGUGGCGAAGGCGGUUCUCUGGGCAUUACCUGACGCUGAGGAGCGAAAGUGUGGGGAGCGAACAGG